GACUUGACAACAUCACCAAGAGGAACAUUUGGUGCCUUUUUAGCAUUUUGGAGCCACGGAUGCUCUAGCACUUGCUUUGCAGUUAGUCGAUGCUUUGGGUCUGGCUCCAACAUCUGCUUGACUAGACUCUUGGCACUCUCAGAAAUGUUUGGCCAUGGAUCCCGUUUGAAGUCUAUGAUCCCACGAAGAAUGGCCUGUGCAACUCCUUGCUCAGACUCAGCCCAAAAAGGGGGAACUCCACACAACAAAAUGUAAAGAAUGACCCCUGCACUCCAUAUGUCAAUUUCUGGCCCAUAGUUCCGCUUUAGCACCUCUGGAGCCAUGUAAUAUGGACUUCCGACAAUUUCAGAGAACCUCUCACCUGGCUUGAAAAAUAUUGACAAGCCAAAAUCAAUGGCCUUCAAAGGCGAAUUCUCCUUCUUAUUUGCAAAGAGAAAAUUCUCGGGCUUCAAGUCCCUAUGAAUCACUCCAUGCUUGUGGCACAGCUGCACAACCUCCACAAUCGUCCGUGUGACAGCCGCAGCUGCUCUCUCCGUAUAAUGCCCUCUGGCCACAAUCCGAUCAAACAGUUCUCCUCCCUCGCACAACUCCAUCACCAAAUGUACCGCAUUGUCAUCCUCGCAGGCCUCCUU
This 632-nucleotide unclassified non-coding RNA is filed under the name Hevea brasiliensis (rubber tree). The record is from RNAcentral. Lineage: Eukaryota; Viridiplantae; Streptophyta; Magnoliopsida; Malpighiales; Euphorbiaceae.